GAAGAAAGGGUAAAAGCUUUUGGAGGGCCGAACUGACGUCUGUUGCAAUAGACGCAGAUGAGUUGAGGCUAGGGGUGAAAGGCCAAUCAAACUUAGAGAUAGCUGGUUCUCCGCGAAAUUUAUUGAGGUAAAGCGUUCAACGAUGUAGAAAGGGGGUAGAGCACUCAUUAGGUAAAGGGGAUCCAAAGUCUUACUGAACUUAUUGAAACUCCGAAGACCUUUCUUUGAUAUCUUGAGCAGACAGACUUAAAGUGCUAAGGUUUUAAGUCAAAAGGGAAACAGCCCAGACUGUUCGCUAAGGUCCUUAAACAUUUUGGAAGUGGUAAAAGGCGUUUUAAAACAAAGACAGCUAGGAGAUUGGCUUGGAAGCAGCCAUUCUAUAAUGAAAGCGUAAUAGCUCACUAGUCGAGUUUUAAAGCACUGAUAAUGUAUCGGGGCUUCACAAAAUUACCCAAGCGACAGAGAACAAUGGUAGCGGAGCGUUUUGUAGACCGUAGAAGAAGUUUUGUGAAAAACUUUGGAGGAUUCAAAAGUGAGAAUGCUGACAUGAGUAACGAAAAAUCAUGUGACAAUCAUGAUCGCCGUAAGUUCAAGGGUUUCUGCGUUCUGUUUUUCAGCGCAGAGUGAUCCGGUCUCUAAGUGUGUUUUUGAUAAAAAACCACGAUGAAAAAAAUGAAAGAUGACGAAAUGUUUUUUAGAAACCAACAGUUUAUUGGAUAGCUUUUUCGUUUCUAAUGUUUCCAGGAAAAAUCUUCAUAAAAUUGACCGUACCCUAAACCGACACCGGUGAACGAGUCGAGUAGACUCAGGCGUUGAGAGAACCAUAUUGAAGGAACUCGGCAAAUUUUUCCUGUACCUUUGGAAGAAAGGAAGCCAAUUUUGGUGACACAAAAAUGGGGGUGACGACUUUUUACUAAAAAAUUAGGACUCUGCAAAAUGGGAACAUGAAGUAUAGGGUCUGACGCCUGCCCGGUGCUUGAAGCUUAACCUGUAUGCUUUUUUGGUAUAUUGAGAAGGCCUAGUAAACGGCGGUUGUAACUAUAACAAUCAUAAAGUAGCGAAAUUCAUUGUCAGCUAAUUCCUGACCUGCAUGAAAGGCGUAACGAUUGCCCCACUGUCUCCAGUAUGGACUCAGUGAAAUUGAAUUCUCCGUGCAGAUGCGGAGAACGUGCCCCAAGACGAGAAGACCCUAUGCAUCUUUACUGUACAUUUACACUGGAAAAAAGCUUAAAUUGUGUAGGAUAGGUGGGAGUUGACAACAACCUUGAAAUACCACCCUUUUUAAGAAGAGUUCCUUAUUUGAACAAGGUUCAAAAACACUGUAUAUGAGGCAGUUUGACUGGGGCGGUCGCCUCCCAAAGAGUAACGGAGGUGUGCGAAGGUAAACUCAAUGAAAGACGGAAACUUUCUGUAGAGCGUAAUGGUAAAAGUUUGCCUGACUGCGAGAGUGACACCUCGAGCAGAGACGAAAGUCGGCCAUAGUGAUCCAAAAGUGCUGCGUGGAAAGACUUUUGCUUAACGAAUCAAAGAUACGCUAGGGAUAACAGGCUAAUAAUUCCCAAGAGCCCUUAUCGACGGAAUUGUUUGGCACCUCGAUGUUGACUGAUCAUAUCCUGGGGCUGAAAAAGGUCCCAAGGGUUCGGCUGUUCGCCGAUAAAAAUGGUACCUGAGUUGAGUUUAGAACGUCGUGAGACAGUUUGGAUUCUACCUGGGGUGCGCGC
Molecule: ribosomal RNA, 1721 nt
Filed under: marine metagenome
Description: bacterial LSU rRNA
Rfam family: Bacterial large subunit ribosomal RNA
Source: RNAcentral